This 253-nucleotide ribosomal RNA is filed under the name uncultured bacterium. RNAcentral describes it as "partial 16S ribosomal RNA". It matches the Rfam family "Bacterial small subunit ribosomal RNA", at positions 524 to 776 of the family's 1533-position model. The record is from RNAcentral.
UACGUAGGGUGCAAGCGUUGCCCGGAUUUAUUGGGCGUAAAGGGCGCGUAGGCGGCUCGGCACGUCCGUUGUGAAAUCGCCCGGCUCAACUGGGCGGGGUCAGCGGAUACGGCCGAGCUUGAGCAAGCUAGGGGGCAAUGGAAUUCCCGGUGUAGUGGUGGAAUGCGUAGAUAUCGGGAGGAACACCAGUGGCGAAGGCGGGUCUCUGGACAGUUCCUGACGCUGAGGCACGAAGGUCAGGGGAGCAAACGGG